AGAGUUUGAUCCUGGCUCAGGACGAACGCUGGCGGCGUGCCUAAUACAUGCAAGUCGAGCGAACCAAUAAGAAGCUUACUUUUUGUUGGUUAGCGGCGGACGGGUGAGUAACACGUGGGUAACCUGCCUGUAAGACCGGGAUAACUCCGGGAAACCGGUGCUAAUACCGGAUAGAUUAUCUUUCCGCCUGGAGAGAUAAGGAAAGAUGGCUAUUGCCAUCACUUACAGAUGGGCCCGCGGCGCAUUAGCUAGUUGGUGAGGUAACGGCUCACCAAGGCGACGAUGCGUAGCCGACCUGAGAGGGUGAUCGGCCACACUGGGACUGAGACACGGCCCAGACUCCUACGGGAGGCAGCAGUAGGGAAUCUUCCGCAAUGGACGAAAGUCUGACGGAGCAACGCCGCGUGAGCGAAGAAGGUCUUCGGAUCGUAAAGCUCUGUUGUUAGGGAAGAACAAGUAUCGGAGGAAAUGCCGGUACCUUGACGGUACCUGACGAGAA
Molecule: ribosomal RNA, 499 nt
Filed under: uncultured bacterium
Lineage: Bacteria
Description: bacterial SSU rRNA
Rfam family: Bacterial small subunit ribosomal RNA
Source: RNAcentral